RNAcentral lists this ribosomal RNA (847 nucleotides) under Heterodera avenae (cereal cyst nematode). RNAcentral describes it as "SSU rRNA". It matches the Rfam family "Eukaryotic small subunit ribosomal RNA", at positions 915 to 1789 of the family's 1831-position model. Lineage: Eukaryota; Metazoa; Nematoda; Chromadorea; Rhabditida; Heteroderidae. The record is from RNAcentral.
AAUUCUUGGACCGUAGCAAGACGGACUACAGCGAAAGCAUUUGGCAAGAAUGUCUUCAUUAAUCAAGAACGAAAGUCAGAGGUUCGAAGGCGAUCAGAUACCGCCCUAGUUCUGACCGUAAACGAUGCCAACUAGCGAUCCGCCGGCGGAUUUAUUCGCCCUGGUGGGGAGCUUCCCGGAAACGAAAGUCUUCCGGUUCCGGGGGAAGUAUGGUUGCAAAGCUGAAACUUAAAGGAAUUGACGGAAGGGCACCACCAGGAGUGGAGCCUGCGGCUUAAUUUGACUCAACACGGGGAAACUCACCCGGCCCGGACACCGUAAGGAUUGACAGAUUGAUAGCUUUUUCAUGAUUCGGUGGAUGGUGGUGCAUGGCCGUUCUUAGUUCGUGGAGCGAUUUGUCUGGUUUAUUCCGAUAACGAGCGAGACUCUGGCCUACUAAAUAGUUGGCUCAUUGCUUCUGUGGGCACAACUUCUUAGAGGGAUUUUCGGUGUUCAGCCGCACGAAAUUGAGCAAUAACAGGUCUGUGAUGCCCUUAGAUGUCCGGGGCUGCACGCGCGCUACACUGGCAAAAUCAGCGUGCUUGUCCUUCCCCGAAAGGGGUUGGUAAACCGGUGAAAAUUUGCCGUGAUUGGGAUCGGACAUUGCAAUUAUUGUCCGUGAACGAGGAAUUCCUUGUAGGGGCGAGUCAUCAACUCGCUCUGAAUACGUCCCUGCCCUUUGUACACACCGCCCGUCGCUGCCCGGGACUGAGCCAUUUCGAGAAAUUCGGGGACGGUUAGUGUGCCGGCUUCGGCCGACGCACGGACUGGAACCGAUUUAAUCGCAGUGGCUUGAACCGGGCAAAGU